Molecule: long non-coding RNA, 215 nt
Filed under: Vigna radiata
Lineage: Eukaryota; Viridiplantae; Streptophyta; Magnoliopsida; Fabales; Fabaceae
Description: long non-coding RNA (VRAD_LNC015200)
Source: RNAcentral
ACGUCAUUAGCUUGACCCAUCAGUAGAUGCCUACUGGCAUAACAUAGCCUCCAUCAGUAGAUGCUUAAUCCCCUAACGUCCAUCAGUAGAUGCUAUCAUUCAUCAUCCUCAUCAUAGCAGCAUCAAUUAGUAAAUGUUGUCAUCUGAGUCCUCCUAAUAUCCCUUAGUGGAUGUUGUACAGCAUCCAUCAGUAAAUGUUGUCAUUACUGCAAAAC